ACGGAAGGCAGCAGUGGGGGAUAUUGCACAAUGGGGGAAACCCUGAUGCAGCGACGCCGCGUGAGCGAAGAAGUAUUUCGGUAUGUAAAGCUCUAUCAGCAGGGAAGAAAAUGACGGUACCUGACUAAGAAGCUCCGGCUAAAUACGUGCCAGCAGCCGCGGUAAUACGUAUGGAGCAAGCGUUAUCCGGAUUUACUGGGUGUAAAGGGAGCGCAGACGGUUUGCCAAGUCUGAUGUGAAAGGUGGGGGCUCAACCCCCAAACUGCAUUGGAAACUGGUAGACUAGAGUGUCGGGGAGGUAAGUGGAAUUCCUAGUGUAGCGGUGAAAUGCGUAGAUAUUAGGAGGAACACCAGUGGCGAAGGCGGCUUACUGGACGAUAACUGACGUUGAGGCUCGAAAGCGUGGGGAGCAAACAGGAUUAGAUACCCUGGUA
RNAcentral lists this ribosomal RNA (434 nucleotides) under uncultured Lachnospiraceae bacterium. RNAcentral's name for it is "partial 16S ribosomal RNA". It matches the Rfam family "Bacterial small subunit ribosomal RNA", at positions 341 to 792 of the family's 1533-position model. The record is from RNAcentral. Lineage: Bacteria; Bacillati; Bacillota; Clostridia; Lachnospirales; Lachnospiraceae.